GGAGAGAUGGAUGAGUGGUUUAAAUCAACGGUUUACUAAACCGUCGUUCCUUAAUUGGAACCGCGAGUUCGAAUCUCGCUCUCUCCG
Molecule: non-coding RNA, 87 nt
Organism: Parcubacteria bacterium C7867-005
Lineage: Bacteria; Candidatus Parcubacteria
Source: Rfam